GAAAUACCACCCUUGUAUGUUUGAUGUUCUAACGUUGGCCCCUAAUCGGGGUUGCGGACAGUGCCUGGUGGGUAGUUUGACUGGGGCGGUCUCCUCCCAAAGAGUAACGGAGGAGCACGAAGGUGGGCUAAUCACGGUUGGACAUCGUGAGGUUAGUGCAAUGGCAUAAGCCCGCUUAACUGCGAGAAUGACGGUUCGAGCAGGUGCGAAAGCAGGUCAUAGUGAUCCGGUGGUUCUGAAUGGAAGGGCCAUCGCUCAACGGAUAAAAGGUACUCCGGGGAUAACAGGCUGAUACCGCCCAAGAGUUCAUAUCGACGGCGGUGUUUGGCACCUCGAUGUCGGCUCAUCACAUCCUGGGGCUGAAGUCGGUCCCAAGGGUAUGGCUGUUCGCCAUUUAAAGUGGUACGCGAGCUGGGUUUAGAACGUCGUGAGACAGUUCGGUCCCUAUCUGCCGUGGGCGUUGGAAGAUUGAAGGGGGCUGCUCCUAGUACGAGAGGACCGGAGUGGACGAACCUCUGGUGUUCGGGUUGUGUCGCCAGACGCAUUGCCCGGUAGCUAAGUUCGGAAUCGAUAACCGCUGAAAGCAUCUAAGCGGGAAGCGAGCCCUGAGAUGAGUCUU
Molecule: ribosomal RNA, 619 nt
Filed under: Vibrio vulnificus
Lineage: Bacteria; Pseudomonadati; Pseudomonadota; Gammaproteobacteria; Vibrionales; Vibrionaceae
Description: partial 23S ribosomal RNA
Rfam family: Bacterial large subunit ribosomal RNA
Source: RNAcentral